AGCUCCAAUAGCGUAUAUUAAAGUUGUUGCAGUUAAAAAGCUCGUAGUUGGAUUUCUGGUGGGAGGGAUCGGUCCUGCAUUCUUUGUAGGAACUUGUAUCCUCUCCGGCCAUCCUUGGGUGGAUCUUGUCUGGCAUUAAGUUGUCAGGCAGGGGAUGCCCAUCGUUUACUGUGAAAAAAUUAGAGUGUUCAAAGCAGGCUUAUGCCAUUGAAUAUAUUAGCAUGGAAUAAUAAGAUAGGGCCCUGGUACUAUUUUGUUGGUUUGCGUACCGAGGUAAUGAUUAAUAGGGACAGUUGGGGGUAUUUGUAUUCAGUAUUCAGUGGUGAAAUACUUAGACCUACGGAAGACAAACUACUGCGAAAGCAUUUACCAAGGAUGUUU
This 381-nucleotide ribosomal RNA is filed under the name uncultured eukaryote. RNAcentral's name for it is "SSU rRNA". It matches the Rfam family "Eukaryotic small subunit ribosomal RNA", at positions 587 to 969 of the family's 1831-position model. The record is from RNAcentral.